This 1143-nucleotide long non-coding RNA is filed under the name Zalophus californianus (California sea lion). RNAcentral describes it as "lncRNA (ENSZCAG00015004412.1)". The record is from RNAcentral. Lineage: Eukaryota; Metazoa; Chordata; Mammalia; Carnivora; Otariidae.
UAAGGGACUAUACUUCUCCAUACUAUAAUGAAAGUGGAAUAGGAAUGCAGUUCUCAAGGUCUCCACUUACUCCUUUUUUUUUUUUUUUUUUUGUAGGGAGAGCAUGGAAGUGGAGAGAGGGAGAGGGAGAGAAUCUUAAGCAGGCUCCACGCUCAGCAUGGAGCCCAACACACGGCUUGAUCUCAAAACCCUAAGAUCAUGACCUGAGCUGAAAUCAAGAGUUGGACGCUCAACCAACUGAGCCACCCAGGCACCCCUACACUUACUCUGCUUGCCUACAGGAUAAAAUAAAAUAAAAUCAGAACCUGAGCCAGAAUGUUCUAGAGUUCCUUACCUUAAAAGCCACUGAAAAACAGGAUGCAUGUGUUUGAGGCUUAUUAUUUGGGCUGGCAUAUGAUUUAUCUUGCCAAACAUGGCACUCUUACCCCACAACAGGCUUAACUGUCCUGGGUAAACCAGGGUCGUGUAUUCACUCUACUAACAAUGGUGGUGGCAGUGGGGUGUAAUUUCCCAGAGUUGAGUGCUUGGCACAUUUCAUUCCUCAAGCUAAUAUGUAAUAGAGUCCCAUUGUAGGUGCUGUGAGAGAAAUAGAUACACAUCUUCUACCCUCAAGGAGUUUACAGGGUUGAGAAAGAGAUGGCUAUUACUGAGUCAAAACAAUACUGAAACAAUACUGCUCAGACCAAGGAACAAAAAAGAAGUUUAGUAAGUGGUUCCUAUGGAGACACUGAUGCUUGAUCUACGCAGUUACCUCCGCGUUCAAUUACUGAUGGUCUGUCGCAACUUGACAGAUUUGGGAGGCUACAAUCAAGGUCAUUUGAGAAGUAAGACCCGGUGUCUUACCCUUACCUAUGGGUGUCCACAUAGAAAUUUAUAGACAUGGGAAAGGCUAGAUAAUGAGAAUGCUCCAUAAAGAGGCACCGUACUUCACCAGGGAGAAAGGCAUCCAAGUUGCUUCACAAAUGUUAAGAAAUAUGCCUAUUUAAUUGUAUGUUGCAUUUUCCCUGGUCUUUGUUUUAUUCAUUUCAUGUGCAGUGAUUAAAAAGAUAUAUUGUACAUUUUAUUAUCUCUUAUGUUUUCCAAUAAAUACAAACCUGGCAUACUUUUUUUCUCAAAUUCUUCUCGGAGGUGUGGUGAACAUCG